RNAcentral lists this ribosomal RNA (1241 nucleotides) under Salmonella enterica subsp. enterica serovar Typhi str. CT18. RNAcentral describes it as "partial 23S ribosomal RNA". It matches the Rfam family "Bacterial large subunit ribosomal RNA", at positions 1 to 1172 of the family's 2925-position model. The record is from RNAcentral. Lineage: Bacteria; Pseudomonadati; Pseudomonadota; Gammaproteobacteria; Enterobacterales; Enterobacteriaceae.
GGGUUGUGAGGUUAAGCGACUAAGCGUACACGGUGGAUGCCCUGGCAGUCAGAGGCGAUGAAGGGCGUGCUAAUCUGCGAUAAGCGCCGGUAAGGUGAUAUGAACCGUUAUAACCGGCGAUACCCGAAUGGGGAAACCCAGUGUGAUUCGUCACACUAUCAUUAACUGAAUCCAUAGGUUAAUGAGGCGAACCGGGGGAACUGAAACAUCUAAGUACCCCGAGGAAAAGAAAUCAACCGAGAUUCCCCCAGUAGCGGCGAGCGAACGGGGAGGAGCCCAGAGCCUGAAUCAGCAUGUGUGUUAGUGGAAGCGUCUGGAAAGGCGCGCGAUACAGGGUGACAGCCCCGUACACAAAAGCGCAUAUGCUGUGAGCUCGAUGAGUAGGGCGGGACACGUGGUAUCCUGUCUGAAUAUGGGGGGACCAUCCUCCAAGGCUAAAUACUCCUGACUGACCGAUAGUGAACCAGUACCGUGAGGGAAAGGCGAAAAGAACCCCGGCGAGGGGAGUGAAAAAGAACCUGAAACCGUGUACGUACAAGCAGUGGGAGCCCCACCACUAAGCCAGUGGUGAACUCCACAUACGCAUCCUUUGCUGAGGAGACGGUUAACGGAGCGAAAGCGACGUUCAACCUCAAAAGAAGCAGAGGGGGCUUAGUGGUGGGGUGACUGCGUACCUUUUGUAUAAUGGGUCAGCGACUUAUAUUCUGUAGCAAGGUUAACUGUAUAGGGGAGCCGGAGGGAAACCGAGUCUUAACCGGGCGUUAAGUUGCAGGGUAUAGACCCGAAACCCGGUGAUCUAGCCAUGGGCAGGUUGAAGGUUGGGUAACACUAACUGGAGGACCGAACCGACUAAUGUUGAAAAAUUAGCGGAUGACCUGUGGCUGGGGGUGAAAGGCCAAUCAAACCGGGAGAUAGCUGGUUCUCCCCGAAAGCUAUUUAGGUAGCGCCUCGUGAAUUCAUCUCCGGGGGUAGAGCACUGUUUCGGCUAGGGGGCCAUCCCGGCUUACCAACCCGAUGCAAACUGCGAAUACCGGAGAAUGUUAUCACGGGAGACACACGGCGGGUGCUAAUGUCCGUCGUGAAGAGGGAAACAACCCAGACCGCCAGCUAAGGUCCCAAAGUCAUGGUUAAGUGGGAAACGAUGUGGGAAGGCCCAGACAGCCAGGAUGUUGGCUUAGAAGCAGCCAUCAUUUAAAGAAAGCGUAAUAGCUCACUGGUCGAGUCGGCCUGCGCGGAAGAUG